Molecule: ribosomal RNA, 253 nt
Filed under: uncultured bacterium
Lineage: Bacteria
Description: partial 16S ribosomal RNA
Rfam family: Bacterial small subunit ribosomal RNA
Source: RNAcentral
GACAGAGGGUGCAAACGUUGCUCGGAAUUACUGGGCGUAAAGCGCGUGUAGGCGGGUUUUCAAGUCAGAUGUGAAAUCCCUGGGCUCAACCCAGGAACUGCAUUUGAAACUGGGAGUCUUGAGUAUCGGAGAGGAAAGUGGAAUUCCUGGUGUAGCGGUGAAAUGCGUAGAUAUCAGGAGGAACACCGGUGGUGUAGACGGCUUUCUGGACCGUAACUGACGCUGAGACACGAAAGCGUGGGUAGCAAACAGG